This 591-nucleotide ribosomal RNA is filed under the name Brevibacterium aureum. RNAcentral describes it as "bacterial SSU rRNA". It matches the Rfam family "Bacterial small subunit ribosomal RNA", at positions 224 to 827 of the family's 1533-position model. Lineage: Bacteria; Bacillati; Actinomycetota; Actinomycetes; Micrococcales; Brevibacteriaceae. The record is from RNAcentral.
GAUGGGCUCGCGGCCUAUCAGCUUGUUGGUGGGGUAAUGGCCCACCAAGGCGACGACGGGUAGCCGGCCUGAGAGGGCGACCGGCCACACUGGGACUGAGACACGGCCCAGACUCCUACGGGAGGCAGCAGUGGGGAAUAUUGCACAAUGGGGGAAACCCUGAUGCAGCGACGCAGCGUGCGGGAUGACGGCCUUCGGGUUGUAAACCGCUUUCAGCAGGGAAGAAGCGAAAGUGACGGUACCUGCAGAAGAAGUACCGGCUAACUACGUGCCAGCAGCCGCGGUAAUACGUAGGGUACGAGCGUUGUCCGGAAUUAUUGGGCGUAAAGAGCUCGUAGGUGGUUGGUCACGUCUGCUGUGGAAACGCAACGCUUAACGUUGCGCGUGCAGUGGGUACGGGCUGACUAGAGUGCAGUAGGGGAGUCUGGAAUUCCUGGUGUAGCGGUGAAAUGCGCAGAUAUCAGGAGGAACACCGGUGGCGAAGGCGGGACUCUGGGCUGUAACUGACACUGAGGAGCGAAAGCAUGGGGAGCGAACAGGAUUAGAUACCCUGGUAGUCCAUGCCGUAAACGUUGGGCACUAGGUGUGGGG